Molecule: transfer RNA, 75 nt
Filed under: Shewanella putrefaciens
Lineage: Bacteria; Pseudomonadati; Pseudomonadota; Gammaproteobacteria; Alteromonadales; Shewanellaceae
Description: tRNA-Gln
Source: RNAcentral
AGGUGUUAAGUUUUUAACUCAAUAAGAUAGUUAGAUUUCGUAGUGCAGACCACACUCACGUUUUAGGCCAUUAAA